RNAcentral lists this ribosomal RNA (440 nucleotides) under uncultured bacterium. RNAcentral describes it as "partial 16S ribosomal RNA". It matches the Rfam family "Bacterial small subunit ribosomal RNA", at positions 338 to 795 of the family's 1533-position model. The record is from RNAcentral.
CCUACGGGUGGCAGCAGUGGGGAAUAUUGCACAAUGGGCGAAACCCUGAUGCAGCGACGCCGCGUGAGUGAAGACGUAUUUCGGUAUGUAAAGCUCUAUCAGCAGGGAAGAAAAUGACGGUACCUGAUUCAGAAGCCCCGACUAACUACGUGCCAGCAGCCGCGGGAAUCCGUAGGGGGCAAGCGUUAUCCGGAUUUACUGGGUGGAAAGGGAGCGUAGACGGCAGCACAAGUCUGGAGGGAAAUGCCGGGGCUUAACCCCGGAACUGCUGUGGAAACUGUGCAGCUAGAGUGCAGGAGAGGUAAGUGGAAUUCGUGGUGUAGCGGUGAAAUGCGUAGAUAUUAGGAGGAACACCAGUGGCGAAGGCGGCUUACUGGACUGUAACUGACGUUGAGGCUCGAAAGCGUGGGUAGCAAACAGGAUUAGAUACCCUAGUAGUC